Molecule: long non-coding RNA, 226 nt
Filed under: Elaeis guineensis (African oil palm)
Lineage: Eukaryota; Viridiplantae; Streptophyta; Magnoliopsida; Arecales; Arecaceae
Description: long non-coding RNA (EGUI_LNC047881)
Source: RNAcentral
GGUUAGGAUUUCAGAGGUGGAGCGAAACAAGGUGGGGUGAGAGCCGAUAGGUCUGCCACACGCGCUGGAAAAUGCAGCUGGGAAGGACGGGACGGGAAGAGAAGUUUGCAGCUUGAAGCGGCCUCCGGUGUAUCCUUUCCAAGCCGUGUUUCGAGCCUUGUAAUAAUGUAUUCUUUUCUGGCCCUCCAGGUCUUGUAACGUACAUCUUGUUAGUUGAAGAAUGAGA